UAUAUAUAUUAAUCUAGGCAUUAUGGGGACCGCUGGAUUAAGGCGACAAAAAUUGGUCUCCUUAAUAUUUUCAGUCCAGAUUUGAUGUAUCAAAUGUCAAUAAAAAUGUCCAUUGACAGUAAGUUGAUAAGCUUGAAUGUUUAUUUACGAGAUCAUUUCAUUGUUUUAAAUCUUAUUAUCUUUUAAUAUUAAAAAAAAUAUUCUUAAACUUUUGUGUGUGUAUAUUUGUGUAUCCAUAAAAAUAGCUAUUAAGGCGACCAGGGAAAAAAUCAUAAUUUUGGUCAAAAAUAGCUAUAUACUAAGCAUUUUUUAUUUGUUUUACUUUAUUUAAAGCCUAUUGUAUAAUAUCCCGAAGUUUCAUUCCAUAAAAUACAGAAAUAAGGAAAUUCGAUAUUUCGUGUACCAUCAACAUCCAAAUUUUCAAGUAUACAGAAAUUUAACUUUCCGGAAUAUAACGGAAAUUUUCGGGUAUCUCCGUGGUACCAUCUCCGUGCAAUUAUGCAGUAUGGCGUUCAUCUCUUACGGAAAGAGAAUGGUAACUUGGUAAGUGUUUAAAAUACAUAUUCAACGUUUUUUCGUUUAUUUUUAUGACUUUUGUACAGUAGUAUAAAUCGUCCACCCUUUGGAUGAAAAGCAAAUGAUUUAUCCGGAUUUUGUUCAUCCGAAACUAAAUCACUAGUAUCAACAUCCGGUGUAAUUUUUGCUUGUAUUUUGGAGAAACUCGAUUGAUUUCUAACAAACUUGGUUUACCACUACAUCGUCGCUUAUUAUUAUUUGGUAUGUUCCAAUCUAAAAAGGGAUUUGCUCCCUUAACAUCUCAGAUUUUAAUAAAUAAAAGACGAAAUGAUACAAAUGCCUUACAUUUUGUUCGUCAAUGUCAUGUCAUUAGUCAUUCUCACCACCUUUAAAUAGCAGAACAGAACGAACACUAUCACCAAUUCGUAUUGUGGCUUUUUGCAUGUGUCUUAAAUUCUCAUAUUUGAUAAUAAAUGCAACAAUAAAAUAUUUCCCUUAUUCUGCCACAGUUAUGCACCAGUCAAUUGUAACCAUGGCCCCCAGGCAGGUCUUGUUUAUACCAGGGAUAGCAGGGGAAAUGGGCCAUGUUUUUACGUUCCAGGUGGACCGGCAGUGCUGAGUGAAUGCGUGGUUAUUGUUUUUGCGCUGAAAACAGGGAAUGGGCCUAACCUAGGAUGUCCCCAGGGGCAUUUGACGGGGAUCUGGUCAUUUCGUAACCUUACCAUUUCGUAACUGCUGAAUCUUGGUUAUUUCGUAACCAUUUUGUCAGUCAAUUCGUAACCGUCAAGAAAUCAAUUGCUCAUAUGGUAACCACCAUUUAACAAGGUGAUAAAUAGUACACUUAGCACCUCGUUAAGUGUAUUGUUCGAACCUGGAUGUAUAUGGCACAGCAACCAAGACACCAAUUGGAAGACAUUACUCAAAUUCUCACUAGUAACAAGCCAAUAAUUUAUGUUACUCAAUAGUUAUUAGAUAUAUAUAUAUCAUGCUAAAUUAGAAAUGAUUUGUCAUUACGUCAAAAUUCUUUCAGCAAUCGUAUAGUUUCAACUUGGAAUAAUUUGCCACAUGAAUUAGUGAACACCACAUCUCUACCAGACUGCAAGAUUCAUCUCUUCCAAAGGAUGUCGUACCUUUCCAGAUACACUGUGUUUUGUGUGGAUAAGAAAUGCAGAGUGGUACCACCAAUCACCUAAGCCACCAUUCCCCUAACAGACAAUAGGCUCAUGGGGACAGUUCCUGCAAUUUACAGAAAAGCUCUCAAUUGUAGCCCUACGAACAUCAGAUACUGCCAAUGGUGAAGCUUGGGUGCACCGGGCCGGUUUUCCAGCCGUGUGGAAUCAACAUCUCCAGCUGAACUGGGGCCGGGAAUUAUAUAAGACUCCUUAGCAGCAUGAGUGCCAGCCAGUCAUUGCUGUUCUUUUCAUUGCUGAGGAGGACAGUCCUGCCAACAUAACAGUUUGUUCAAUAACAGGAGACAAACAGAAACACAGAGGUGCUAUACAUUCUGAUUGAAAAACAAAUGCUUCUGCCAUCAUUUUGGCGUGGCUCAGAUCAAGAGGAGAAUUUUAAGAAAGGUGAUGAUUGGGCACACACAAGAAGACAUAGAUCACAGGUGUCUAGCCAUAUGAGUAGAUAGGAGUGUCACACUCUGCCAAACUUACUUCAUCAGACGAGCAGAAAGCUUCUCAAGAUCCCGCACUGCACACUAAGACAUAGUCUUUGACUACAACAAGGUGAUGAAAGUACAGAGAGGUCCAAUUGAAAUCAAUUCUGUGCUGCGUCAUUUCUUCAUUCUGGAAGUCGAUGGACGUGAUUUAUCAUGGCAUAAAGUGUGCAGUUUGCCGACUAUCAGCAGUCUUGUUCACCAGCUGUGCAACUUGAGCUGGUAGCUUUAUUGCUUGAAGCCACUGCACAAGAGGGGGGAAGGUGCAGGCUCAUCAAAAAGUCUCAAAAGUUGAAACUAGGAAAAGAAGUUUAUCAAGAGUGUGAAUCUAUUUUGAAAACAAUCGUUACAAUGAUUUGGUUUCCUUUGAAACUUGAUACAUACUAUGAAUUGAGAUGCUUAAAUAAAAAACCGCUAUUCAAAUAUCAGGAAACUGCCUUUUUCAUACUAAAGGGUAAAUGAUGUCGCCAUUUCCUGUAUGUAUUUAAAUAAGAUAUGUCUCCACAAUUAAUAUUUUUAGGGAAUUUUUCUCAACCUAAUGAAUGAGAUUAAAUUGUACAGCGUUAUAUGAGCUUAAUAUGUGUUUUCUCAUUCUUUAAAAUUGGUGAAAAAUUGUCAGAAGAUAAUUAGACCAGUAUCCAUUACUGCAAUCAUACAAUCAAAUAUACAGGGACAAGCCCACUGGGCAUAUAAUAUAAUUAAACCCUGUUUAGGGGCACGAGGCAAACAGAGUUACUUUCAAACGUUAAAGCUGCACUCUCACACUUUAGAUGUUUUGACAACCUUUUUCAUUUUAUGUCUUGGAUUGGAACCAUCCAAUUUUUGCGAAAAAUUAAAUCCCAGAUUUUUCUAUUUAAGUUAAAACAUUGAUGUUUUUCAUGCACUUUUCUUAAACCGUUAGUAACAUUAAUUUUCGAACGGAAAUAUGAAAUCUGCGAUCUGAUCUUUUGUCAGCAAUCUUUUAUCAUUGGUUUGCAGAUAAUUACGCAAAAACUUGCUCAUUCCAAGACAAAAAAAGUUGUGGAAACGGUAUAUCUGUGAGAGUGCAGCUCUAAAUGUUUAAUUGCUUGAUUUUACUACUGUAUUAGAAAUUACAGGGAUUGGGGUAUAUUUUUAGUGUUUUUAUUGCUUGUUUUUGAUUCAUACAGUCAUACUUUAUUCUUCAGGGCACAACUUACAAAUAGACAAAACUGGAAAAUGGUCAUAUCAAAAGGUCAAAGAUAAUGCAAGUUGAACAAUCAUAUUGUUCAUGGCUUGUAUUUUUGGUAUAUUUUGUUGCAUAUGCUAUAGAAAAGUUGAAAGUUAAAAAUAAAUUCAUAGUUGAAAUGAUGGCUUUGAAUGGUAUUGUCAGAUGAGAAACGGCACUAUUAAGAAAUAGGUAUAAUGGUACUUUAUUUAUUUUAAUCAAUUUUAGAUAUUAUGAAAAUUAUUAUCUUAUUUAGUACAUGAGACCUUUUAAACAGUUAUUGACAAUAUAACAAUGUGUAUAUGAAGCUUUAGAUCAACACUUAAAGCUGCACUCUUACAGAUUGUCAGUUUAGACACAAAAUUGUCUCAAAAUCGGCUGAUUUGGUUAUCAUUCCUUUAAUUCAGUCAUAUUAGAUAAUUCACGAUAGAACCAAUCAAAAAUGUUUGGUAAAACUGCCGAAAAGUUCAUUUACAUUAAAUUGUUCGUAAUGCUUUUAGUCAUUGUUCGUAAUGCUUUUAGUCAUAAAACAUCAUUUUUUUAAACAUAAAUAUGAUGAACUGCAAUCUAAUCUUUUUUCAGCAGUCUUAUAUCACUUAAAAUUGGGUCUAGACAUUUCUGCAAAAAAUACUCCAUUAAUAGACGAUCAAUAAAAGAGUACCGGUAGUCAAAACGAUCAAUCGGCGAGAUUGCAGCUUUAAAUACACCUUUUAAGACCGCUGUAAAAUUCCAAUGGUUUGCCUAAAUCUUUAAAGCUAGCAUACUGUUUAAUUGACAACCAUACUUAUUGUUUUAAAGUGUCAUGAUAUCUUUGUACAAUGUUUUUAUAUAAUUCAUUAAAGAAGUCAAAACAAAUUUGUUUAUCUUGUAAUUUGUUAUCUAUUAUUUAAAUGACUCAGACAAAAAUGGGAACGUCAGUGCUAGUUCUUUUACUAUUAACAUCCCAUGAAGUUUCUAUUGGUGUAGCAGCAAGGAGGUGUUACAUUAAGGAUGCAU
Molecule: long non-coding RNA, 4361 nt
Organism: Mya arenaria
Lineage: Eukaryota; Metazoa; Mollusca; Bivalvia; Myida; Myidae
Exons: 6
Source: RefSeq, a predicted model, not a curated record